GGGCGAUUGGCGCAGUUGGCUAGCGCGUCACAUUGACAUUGUGAAGGUCAUAGGUUCAAGUCCUAUAUCGCCCA
Molecule: transfer RNA, 74 nt
Filed under: bacterium
Lineage: Bacteria
Also listed under: 1 other name
Description: tRNA-Val
Rfam family: tRNA
About the family: Transfer RNA (tRNA) molecules are approximately 80 nucleotides in length. Their secondary structure includes four short double-helical elements and three loops (D, anti-codon, and T loops). Further hydrogen bonds mediate the characteristic L-shaped molecular structure. tRNAs have two regions of fundamental functional importance: the anti-codon, which is responsible for specific mRNA codon recognition, and the 3' end, to which the tRNAs corresponding amino acid is attached (by aminoacyl-tRNA synthetases). tRNAs cope with the degeneracy of the genetic code in two manners: having more than one tRNA (with a specific anti-codon) for a particular amino acid; and 'wobble' base-pairing, i.e. permitting non-standard base-pairing at the 3rd anti-codon position.
Source: RNAcentral